Molecule: long non-coding RNA, 272 nt
Organism: Pomacea canaliculata
Lineage: Eukaryota; Metazoa; Mollusca; Gastropoda; Architaenioglossa; Ampullariidae
Exons: 3
Source: RefSeq, a predicted model, not a curated record
GCAGUGCGGGUUACUGGGGAGACAACUGCAGUCAGCCCUGUGGACAAGGAUGUAAAGGCUCAUGCAACAAGACGAAUAGGCAGUGUGAUUGUCAACCAGGCUGGAAACCUCCAAAGUGUGAAGGAUGCUUAAAGGAUUAUUGGGGUGCGAACUGUACACAUGAGUGUAGUAAGACAUGUACUGGAACAGACCAGGAAGGCUACUGCGAUAAUACCACUGGUCAAUGUUUAAAAGGUUGCAGUGCGGGUUACUGGGGAGACAACUGCAGUCAG